UACGUAGGGGGCGAGCGUUGUCCGGAGUUACUGGGCGUAAAGGGCGCGCAGGCGGUCUGGCAAGUUUGGAGUGACAGUGCUCGGCUUAACUGAGCAAGGCCUUCGAAAACUGCUAGACUUGAGCACUCAAGAGGGACAUAGAAUUCCGGGUGGAGUGGUGAAAUGCGUAGAUAUCCGGAGGAAUACCAAAGGCGAAGGCAGUGUCCUGGGGAGUGUCUGACGCUCAGGCGCGAAAGCUAGGGGAGCGAACGAG
This 253-nucleotide ribosomal RNA is filed under the name uncultured bacterium. RNAcentral's name for it is "partial 16S ribosomal RNA". It matches the Rfam family "Bacterial small subunit ribosomal RNA", at positions 524 to 776 of the family's 1533-position model. The record is from RNAcentral.